Molecule: long non-coding RNA, 1489 nt
Organism: Vidua macroura (Pin-tailed whydah)
Lineage: Eukaryota; Metazoa; Chordata; Aves; Passeriformes; Viduidae
Exons: 6
Source: RefSeq, a predicted model, not a curated record
UCAUUGGACCUGAAUGUUUGUAGCAUCAUGAGCACAGAGCACUUUUAGAGGAGGAAUUCAGUUGACUCAAGAUUAAGAACCUGUUUCAAUCAGGGUCUACUUGCUCUAAUAUGUGUAGCUGACAAAUAAAACAAUCCAUUGCUUUGGAAUAAUUUUCAGCUUUGAGAAUGGAGCGUGACAGGGCAUUUCCUUCCUGCUGGUAGUGACACUGUCUCUUCCCAAGAAAAGACCACAUUGUCCAAGAAUCCAGAGGGGAAAAAAUACACUAACACCAGCUUGACACUAAAUUUUGGACACACCCAAGAGGAAGAAAAACAGUCGAGCUCCCUCAUGAAAAAGAAGGACUUGCAGUCUUCUUCACUGUCAUGGGAACAGACUGAUUACUUUUUCAUUCCAGGUAGCACCCUGGAAUUCGUGGCAACAGUAAAAUCUGCCAGUCAUGGGAAAUCACAUGAAUGAUUCUGUGGAGGCUAACCCAAGAUUGCUGAACUCAUUUUCAUGCAUGGCUAAAUGCAGAAUUGAACCUUGUGCUCCAGAAAUGAAAGAAAGGAAAAAAUUGUCAGCGAGUCCAAAAAUGACAAGAGUAUAAACUGAACUCUCAGGGAGGGAAAAGUCACUGGAGAGAAGCUGAGCAAUUUAUAUCCUUUGGUCACUGUGGAAGAUGGGUUUGAUAACCCUGACAGGAUUCCAGGUGCCCACCAAGGCUGCUCUAUCACAGCCCUCAUCUGGACAGGGGAGAGAAAAUAUAACAAAAGGCUCAUGAGUUAAAGACAGGGAGAGAUCACUCACCCAUUACCAUCGUGGGCAAAAACUCCUCCCUGUCCCUCUGCACUGACCUUGGUGUCUGCAGAGUUGUUUCUCUCACAUAUUUUCACUCCUCUCUGUGGCUGCACUUGUGCAGGGUUUGUGGUUUCCCCUUCCUAAAUACAUGACCCCACAGGCAUUACCACCAUCACUGAUGAGCUCAGCCUUGGCCAGUGGUGGGUCCAUCCUGCAGCUGGUUGGCUUUGGCUCCAUCAGACAUAGGGGAAGUUUCUGGCAACUUGUCACAGAAGCCACCCUUGCAGCCCUCCCCUUCUAGCAAAACCUGGCCACACAAACCCAACAUGGAGAAAUCAGGGAAAUUAUCCUUCCAGAGUCCUUUUGGGGUGUUCAGGGAACUUGGCAGAGACUGUCUCUAAAACUGAAAUACCUGGAAGGGGUUAUGGUACAAAAGACAGGUGAAUGCAGAAGACUCUCCAGGAUCUGAAGGAUUUACCCAUGAAUUCCAAGAAAACUCAGGGAUGAAAUUUCUACUAAAAGCAGCAUGUGACAUGUCUUUUCACUGUUCCUCUGUACAUGAAAAUCAGGUGUCAAAUGUGAUGUCCAUCAUUAAGAAAGGUUCAAGGGUAUCCAGCAACUUAAAACUGACAUCUGUUUCCAGGUGAACAACUAGACAUUGUAAGAGAGAGAAUUAAUAUCUACCUGAAUAAAUAUUAUCUUAACAGUG